UACGUAGGGGGCGAGCGUUAUCCGGAUUCAUUGGGCGUAAAGCGCGCGUAGGCGGCCCGUUUGGUCGGGAGUUAAAUCCGGGGGCUCAACCCCCGCCCGCUCCCGAUACCGGCGGGCUUGAGUCUGGUAGGGGAAGGCGGAAUUCCAAGUGUAGCGGUGGAAUGCGCAGAUAUUUGGAAGAACACCGGUGGCGAAGGCGGCCUUCUGGGCCACGACUGACGCUGAGGCGCGAAAGCUAGGGGAGCGAACAGGAUUAGAUACCCCCGUAGUCC
RNAcentral lists this ribosomal RNA (272 nucleotides) under uncultured Olsenella sp. RNAcentral describes it as "partial 16S ribosomal RNA". It matches the Rfam family "Bacterial small subunit ribosomal RNA", at positions 524 to 796 of the family's 1533-position model. The record is from RNAcentral. Lineage: Bacteria; Bacillati; Actinomycetota; Coriobacteriia; Coriobacteriales; Atopobiaceae.